RNAcentral lists this ribosomal RNA (164 nucleotides) under Diaphanosoma cf. amurensis NEB01. Its description in RNAcentral is "partial 16S ribosomal RNA". Lineage: Eukaryota; Metazoa; Arthropoda; Branchiopoda; Diplostraca; Sididae. The record is from RNAcentral.
UAUAGAGCUUAAAUACUCAAGUGGGCAAGUACAGUAAGUAAUGUCUUAACUAGUUGUGUAUUUUUGUUGGGGCGACAAGGAGAUAAAAAUAACACUCUUUUUUAAAAAAUAUUUAUAAAUAAAAUAACGAUCCUUAAAUUAAGAUAAAAGACUAAGUUACCUUA